RNAcentral lists this transfer RNA (64 nucleotides) under Heterocephalus glaber (naked mole-rat). It matches the Rfam family "tRNA". Rfam says of the family: Transfer RNA (tRNA) molecules are approximately 80 nucleotides in length. The record is from Rfam by way of RNAcentral. Lineage: Eukaryota; Metazoa; Chordata; Mammalia; Rodentia; Bathyergidae.
GGGGAUUUAGCUCAGUGGUUCCAGUGCCUGCCUUGAAAGCAUGAGGUCCCAAGUUCAAUCCCCA